AUGAAGUCAGCUUAUCCCGAAACAACCAUUUUUCAAUCACAUCCUAAAUUCAAACACAUUCUAAAUUCUGCGGAUCUGAUAUCAUGUCAAUGUACAUUGCAUAAAGUCACAUUGUAUUAACUGCAACACCUGCAGAAAUGCCUACCUUGAUUAAUUGUCAGAUUUUUUUCCCAGAAAAACAAUCAUAAACUGUUUGUUUUAUGUGUAACAAUGUAAAUUGUCCAACUUCAAUUAUAUCAAAAUAGUCACUUGUUUUAAAUAGUGAGAAAAAAAUCAAACUAAGUUAGAUUAUUUAUAAAGUAUUGGCUACAGAGUUUUACCAUUUACCUCAGUCUUAGGUGUAUUAGAAAUGACUAUUUAUAUGGUGUACCACUAAAUAUUCAUCAGAUUUUACAUAGGGUUCCUUAUUAAUAAAAUCUUAAUUUGUUACCAAGAUUUUUCAAGGGACGUCAGCAGAAUAGAUUUUUUGUAAGUGAUAUCAGCUGGCAGAUCAAGACAAGUUUUCUCCAAAUCCCUCCAGAGGCGUGCACGUCGCGGAGAAGGCAUACGGCAGGUCAAGGUCAAAUCAUCUCAAGUACCAGAGGUGAUUGGUUGACCUGUUGUGACUAACUCUGGAGGGUGGCGCUAAUAAAAGCCGUUUUAUGUCAACCGCCUGUUUGCAGCCGUCACGGAACUUGAAGCUUUUCCAGUAUUGUCUUUCCUCCAUCGAACGAAGUACAGGACUUAGGAAGAUCGGCAUGAAAAAGACGUCCCCGAUGAGACUUCUAGAGUGGACCGGCAUGGACGCUGAGAUCUUGGACAUAUGGAAUUUCCGGCGCCGAGCUAAAAUAAACUUAAUUGAACAAGUUUCCAUAUAUGGUAAUAUCAUAAAGUAGCGAAGGUAAAAUGGCUGUUAUGGUUGGCUGCAUUUAUCAUUUUGCACCUCAUUUAGCAUACUAAGAAGUGACACCUUCAACUGGCUUUUUUGACACAUGAAGAGUAGCUAUACGAAGGGAAUGCGUUGUACUGUACAUAUGUUAUAACAUUAAGUGUAAAGUUUCUUAAAUCAUGAAAAAAAAAAAACUGUCGAAAAUCAUUGAAUACACUGUUGUGACUUUUUUACAGUUAUCAGUAGCCCUGAUACAUCUUGAACACUUUUUUUCAGUUGUGUAAAUGCUGUUUAAAUUUAGGUCAAAAUACUCCUGGGAAUGACCUAAAUGGGUCAUAUUAUUUUUAUUUAUUUUCUAAGCAAUAUUGAAAAUAUACCAGCCUUAAAAUUAAUAAAUGUUUAUAGACGCCUAAUAGCUAAAUAAAUUUAAAGCAAUAUUUCUCCUUCCAUUUAUAAUUGGCUAAAAAUUGCUCAACUGAUUGAAUAUUAGUUGUUCCGGGAUACCUUCUGUAAAUUUUGAUCGAGUAGUCUCGGAUUUUUUUUAAUGGAAAAUCAAGUUGCUCUUAGCUGCGUUUGAUUUCUGCUAUGAAUAUGUGGUUCUCUUUCAUAAUCAAGUCGGGCUACAAGAAACAUGGCGGAACCAAAGAAAAUGUCGAAGAUGUCAAAUGUCGACUACGAAAAACUUGAAGACGUUCAAAAGAUGUACAUUAAGAGACUUGAACGUGGAAACAAAGAAAGAGCUAGAAAUCUUGUUUAUCACAGAAGUCAUAGAGGAAAAAUGGGCGGGGUUCUAUUUGCCAGUGUAAUAGGAAUAUAUUUUUAUACAAUGUAUGCUGUGAAACAAGAACGACUUGGUGACGAGUAUGAUCAAAGAUAUGAAGACCAACUGGCGAAAAAAACGUAACAGACAUUUCCAAAAGGAGAUUGGGGGAAAAAAGACAAAAGUGAUAAAAACCAUUGUGUUAUGUGAUAAACCAAUAAAAUUAAUGAAUGUGUGCUUCGUGUUUCAUAAAGAAUGUGUCACAUAAUUUAUCUCAAUGGUGCUUUAUUUCGAGCAAUAGUUUAGGACAUAAUCAUUGUGUUACAGUACUGAUUCUGAAUCACCCAACUUUUACCUCGGAACAAGUUGUUACAGUACUGAAUUGCCCAACUGAUAUCGGAGAACAUUUUGACAGUUUAAACUUUUACAUUAGAUUGAUAUACAUCAGAUAGAUUUUCUGUAUGUUGAAUCAGUUUGAAUUACUUUGUAAACAAACAGCAGUUUUAAUAUUCAUACAUCUUGAUAUGAUUAAUUUGUUUGAAGUUUUUAAAAAGGCAUUAUUAGUUACUUAUACUAAUAUUAAUAAAACUGGUGUUUUUUUUCUAAAGGAAUAAUUUGAACAAUUUUCAGGUGAAAGAAUAUUGACAAAACAAAAAUAAAUAAAUUUCUUAAAAAGUUUUUAUAUUUUUAUUGAAUGUACAUAAUAACUUAUGCUUUGUUGAUAUUCUGUAAAUAUUUUGUUCUUCUGGAUAAAAUAGAAUUAUAAAAGAAAUGUAUC
Molecule: long non-coding RNA, 2406 nt
Organism: Ruditapes philippinarum (Manila clam)
Lineage: Eukaryota; Metazoa; Mollusca; Bivalvia; Venerida; Veneridae
Exons: 2
Source: RefSeq, a predicted model, not a curated record